GAUCCUACGGGGCGCAGCAGUGAGGAAUAUUGGUCAAUGGGCGGGAGCCUGAACCAGCCAAGUCGCGUGAGGGACGACGGUCCUAUGGAUUGUAAACCACUUUUGUAGAGAACGAAAAGACACCUUCGAAUAAAGGGUGUUGCUGACGGUACUCUAAGAAUAAGCACCGGCUAACUACGUGCCAGCAGCCGCGGUAAUACGUAGGGUGCGAGCGUUAAUCGGAAUUACUGGGCGUAAAGGGUGCGCAGGCGGUUGAGUAAGACAGAUGUGAAAUCCCCGAGCUUAACUCGGGAAUGGCAUAUGUG
Molecule: ribosomal RNA, 305 nt
Filed under: uncultured bacterium
Lineage: Bacteria
Description: bacterial SSU rRNA
Rfam family: Bacterial small subunit ribosomal RNA
Source: RNAcentral